GAUACCUCACGCUACUACUGAGGUUGUCCACCCCACACCAGACCGGCACACUGACCCUGAUCGACCCCCACCCCACCAAACUCUCUCUCUCUCCUCUCAUCCACAUCCGCCGCCGCACUCAUCCGCCCGGCGAUCCCACCGGCCGGCGCCUUCCGCCCUCAUCCUCUCCACCUUCCCCCACCUUCUAUCCAUCUAUAUGCCCCUAGACUAGAUCGAGCAGGCGGGCGCCGUCAGAUCGGGAACGGUCAUGCCCACGGCGGGGCAUCUAGAUCCGCGCCGCCGUCGAUCCAGGACGCGACGUUCGGCUCCUUCUCCACAUCCACGCCAAGGGUGACGAGGAGUGAGGGGGCUUCCUCCCCGCGCUCUCUCUCGGGACGCCGACAUCUCCGACCCAUGACGAGCAGCUCAGUCAAGGUAUCACCCCCCCCCCCCCCCCCCCUCUCUAAUUGCAUCUGAUCUGGGCUUCUCUCCAGAACUAGUGCGUGAAGGAUUUUUCCCCUUUCUUCUUCCCCGAGCACGAAUCCAUGGCGGCACGCAGCACAGGUUUGUCCCGGUCGUUGGCGUCUUCGUGGCCCCGCCGCAAACCUUGGUCCUUCGAUCCUGUACAGAGAGUCGCCGUAUGCGUACGACCCGCCGCUCAAUUGCAGAAUACCCCUCGAUGGAUUUCCUGGGAGAAAAUAUAACAAAUGCAUGCUAAGGACGGAUCGUGAUUUGGUGGUCGAGCCUAUGUCAACCACUGGUUCCACUCAGCCGAGCAGGCCAGACAUAAGGUCUUCACCUUGAGCAUCCAGUGAGAGUGUCAGGGCUCGCAAUUCAGGUUCUAGUUCCAGAUCAGCUGCCCUGCCACCAGCAGCACCACAAGCAGGGGCUGCAAACCCUUUACGUUUCGAUGCAAAGACUAUACAUUUCUCCGUAAAUGCCUGGGCACUCAGGAAGGUGCCAAGGAGAUGCUGGACCAAGGCGUGGAGGCACUAUGAGCUGAAGAGCACAUAGCUGCAGAUGCUGGAGGCUGGCCUGGUGAGCCGAGGAUUGGAGGUAGCGCUGAUUGGUGUUUUUAUGGAGAGAUAGGAUGCCACUGUUUGGUGUUUUUAUGCAUUUUGGUUUGCUUGUAACUGUGUUUGCACUAGCUGGGAGUAAGUGACUUGGCAAGAAGUGUAGGUGUUUUAAUUGAAGGCAUGAAAAGCCAUGACAAUAUGUAUGCUCUUACAGGAUGUGCUCUAAUGCCGCUGGUUUAUUAUAAAUCUUGGAUUAGUAAUGAUGUGUAAUGCUGUUGGUUUAUUGCAAAUAUGUGUUUGUUUUAGUUGGAA
This is a non-coding RNA of Triticum urartu, 1307 nucleotides long. NCBI's taxonomy places the organism in Eukaryota, Viridiplantae, Streptophyta, Magnoliopsida, Poales, Poaceae. The record is from RefSeq and is a predicted model, not a curated record.